This is a long non-coding RNA of Olea europaea var. sylvestris, 894 nucleotides long. RefSeq lists it as uncharacterized. The record is from RefSeq and is a predicted model, not a curated record. NCBI's taxonomy places the organism in Eukaryota, Viridiplantae, Streptophyta, Magnoliopsida, Lamiales, Oleaceae. The transcript has 2 exons.
UUUGAACAAAAACAUUUGUACACAAUGGCGUAAUAAGGUGUUAUUUUGGGCUACCUCAAAACUUCAUGGACUGAAGCAAAUCCCUGUCGACAAUUCUAAUUGCAGAACCAAUCCAGCUAGGGCAGAAAUUUUCCGCUGAGCUGGCAUGGAAGAAAAAAAAUGUUUUAACCAAAUGUCAGAUAACCCAAGACAAUACGAGCUGCCCCAUUUCUCCCCACGUUUCACCAAAACCAAUUUCCCACUAAAUGGUCCUGCCGAUUGGAGAGAAACACACCCAUCAAGAUUACGCCGUCAACUUGGUUUUCAUCUCCAGCAAAUUUCGCCCAAUUGAACCGUGAAUAAGUACAAGGUUUUCAGCUAUAUAACUAUUACUCUUGCAUAAACCCUAACUUCCUACCCAUUUUGCCAUCGUAGUCGUGACUAUCUCCGGUCGGCGUCGUUCAAUGGUUCCACUGAGAGGCCAACAUCUUCAGACAUUAUCUCCGACCCAUUUUGCGAGUAAAGUUUAUUAUUUGUUUCAGAUCCUCUGCACAUUUCUUGGGAAGGGAUGAGAGGGAGGAAUUAUGGUGUUUGUCACAGUUGUUGAAACAUAAAUUGCCAAGCAUGUUCGAACAUCUAGCUCAAAUGGCUGAAAAACGAAACGUCGAGAUUUCAUUGAACGUGACAUUCCACAAAGGAAAAGAGCCCUCAAACGAUAAUGGAGAAGAAAAGGGGCCAGCAUGAUUAUUAGUUAUAUUUAUUCUCGCACCCAGAAUAGUUUUGUGUUUGGGUUUGUAAUACCGAGAGACGACAAAAAAAAUCAAAGAACCCAACAAUUUUCAUUUUUGAAGAAUGCCAUGAAGGCACUCUUUUUUAUAUGUAUGGUAUCAUGAGUAAAAUGUUUGUGUUGCAUUA